GGGGAGGAGCGAGGAGAAGGUGUGUAGGGUGGCGGGGUGGGGGGGUCGUUGCCUGGUUGGGGGAGGGGACGUCGAGGGGCGCAGGGUGAAGUUCAAAGCGUGGCCAGGGCUGGUUCAGGCAGAGGGUAGGGGUGCUCGAGAGGGGAUUAGGGUCUGGCCAGGUUGUGGGGACAGGCCAGAGAGUUUCCGAGGCGAGUCUGGGUAUCUUGAGGGGGCCCGGGGCGACUGGAGCUAGUGAGGGAGUUGGGGGGGUUCAGGGCGAAGNGCUGGGAGCAGGACGUGUGCGUGGCCCAGGAGGGGGAAGCAAGGUGGCUGGUAGUGUGCAGUAAGUAGGCUGUGGGUGUGUGCUCCUUCCAGGCUUCAGGUCACAUUUACUCCUGUCCUUUUCUUCAAGAUGGAGGGAUUCCUGGGCCUGGCCUUAACUGCUCUCCUAGUGCCCCCGGGAGGGUUUGUGACCCUGUCCUGUUUGGAAAACCCGUGCUGCCCUCUUUUCCCUUUAUGUGUAAUUACGGUUGGAUCAUCUCUAUGCUUUGCUCAGAUUCUCCUUCCUCCCUCUGGGGUUGAGGAGGAGGAGACACAUCUGACCAAUUAAUGUGUGUUUGUGAAACAGGCAGCAGCAAACAGUCAUUUCAGCUUCUAGGAAUUAGGCUCACACAGGGUGGAGAGAUCAGAGCCCUUCAGGGGGAAUAUUUCUGAACAAAUCACAGAUGAUUAAAUUCUCUAAGAAACAGCUUCCUACCUAAAUGAGAGUGGGAAAGAUGGGGGAGAAAGCCUGUCUGUUUCCAGCCAUGUGUCCAGAGCCCCAGGGGUUGAGGAGAGUCCCCAGUCCCCCCACAGGCCUCUCUUUUCUCUAUGAGGCUUUGCUCGGCAGCCUUGAGUUAAUUUCACCCCUGCGGCUUUGUCUUGGGGGAGGGAGUGCUGGUUUAGGCUGUUGUGAGGAGAUGACUGUUUUGCUGCCACACACAAUAGUCGUGUCAUUUUAUCGGGAGAGCUACCCCAGGGCUGAGAACUGCUGCUGCAGAGAUAAACCGGUCCCUCUCACCCGCCUAUUGUGUACACAGUGA
This 1064-nucleotide long non-coding RNA is filed under the name Capra hircus (goat). RNAcentral describes it as "lncRNA (ENSCHIG00010006496.1)". Lineage: Eukaryota; Metazoa; Chordata; Mammalia; Artiodactyla; Bovidae. The record is from RNAcentral.